RNAcentral lists this long non-coding RNA (360 nucleotides) under Brassica rapa (field mustard). Its description in RNAcentral is "long non-coding RNA (BRAP_LNC007785)". The record is from RNAcentral. Lineage: Eukaryota; Viridiplantae; Streptophyta; Magnoliopsida; Brassicales; Brassicaceae.
UUGGCCCAUGACAUAUUUUGGUGUCUUAUCAUAGAUGCCCAUUAGGUUACAAACCUCUCACAUCAAAAGUUGUUUCUGGGAUUUGAGUGAGACCUCUGGUUCUGUGAAACGAUAGACAAAUGUUCAUGUUCCACUUGCGAUUCAGUAACGAAUGAUAAUAAUGAUAUCAAUCAAAUUAACCCAACACUUAUAUUCAAUUCCUCUUCUCUGCCUUCUUCAUCACCACCAUUCAAUGUAUAUACAGAUCGAGAGACCUUCUUUCAUAUUUCUGUUUCACACUUUUCAUAAGCUAACAGACGGUUAGGAAUGGCAACUUCACAGGUUUUUCUCACUGUAUUGAAAGCAGAUCGGAGCAGGCAU